Molecule: ribosomal RNA, 301 nt
Filed under: uncultured bacterium
Lineage: Bacteria
Description: partial 16S ribosomal RNA
Rfam family: Bacterial small subunit ribosomal RNA
Source: RNAcentral
CAGUCGCCACGGUAAUACGUAGGUGGCGAGCGUUGUCCGGAUUUAUUGGGCGUAAAGGGAGUGUAGGCGGUCUUUUAAGUCUGAUGUGAAAGCCCACGCCUCAACCGUGGAGGGUCAUUGGAAACUGGGAGACUUGAGUGCAGAAGAGGAGAGCGGAAUUCCAUGUGUAGCGGUGAAAUGCGUAGAUAUGUGGAGGAACACCAGUGGCGAAGGCGGCUCUCUGGUCUGUAACUGACGCUGAGGCUCGAAAGCGUGGGGAGCAAACAGGAUUAGAUACCCCCGUAGUCCCUGUCUCUUAUAC